This 474-nucleotide ribosomal RNA is filed under the name Streptococcus sanguinis. RNAcentral's name for it is "bacterial SSU rRNA". It matches the Rfam family "Bacterial small subunit ribosomal RNA", at positions 28 to 485 of the family's 1533-position model. Lineage: Bacteria; Bacillati; Bacillota; Bacilli; Lactobacillales; Streptococcaceae. The record is from RNAcentral.
GACGAACGCUGGCGGCGUGCCUAAUACAUGCAAGUAGAACGCUGAAGAGAGGAGCUUGCUCUUCUUGGAUGAGUUGCGAACGGGUGAGUAACGCGUAGGUAACCUGCCUGGUAGCGGGGGAUAACUAUUGGAAACGAUAGCUAAUACCGCAUGAUAUUAAUUAUUGCAUGAUAAUUGAUUGAAAGAUGCAAUUGCAUCACUACCAGAUGGACCUGCGUUGUAUUAGCUAGUUGGUGAGGUAACGGCUCACCAAGGCGACGAUACAUAGCCGACCUGAGAGGGUGAUCGGCCACACUGGGACUGAGACACGGCCCAGACUCCUACGGGAGGCAGCAGUAGGGAAUCUUCGGCAAUGGGGGGAACCCUGACCGAGCAACGCCGCGUGAGUGAAGAAGGUUUUCGGAUCGUAAAGCUCUGUUGUAAGAGAAGAACGGGUGUGAGAGUGGAAAGUUCACACUGUGACGGUAUCUACCA